Oncorhynchus keta (chum salmon) is the source of this 2540-nucleotide long non-coding RNA. RefSeq lists it as uncharacterized. The transcript has 3 exons. The record is from RefSeq and is a predicted model, not a curated record. Lineage: Eukaryota; Metazoa; Chordata; Actinopteri; Salmoniformes; Salmonidae.
GAGGUGAGGGCUCUGGGAGUGUGGUGCCAGGAAAAUAACUUCUCACUCAACGUCAACAAAACUAAGGAGAUAAUCGUGGACUUCAGGAAACAGCAGAGGGAAUACCCCCCUAUCCGCAUCGAUGGGACUGCAGUGGAGAAGGUGGAAAGCUUCAAGUUCAUUGGCGUAUACAUCACUGACAAACUGAAAAUGUCCACCCACACAGACAGUGUGGUGAAGAAGAAGCAGGAGAACCUCAGGAGGCUAGAGAAAUGUGUCUUAGCACCUAAAACCCUCAUAAACUUUUACAGAUGCACAAUUGAGAGCAUCCUGUCGGGCUGUAUCAUUGCCUGGUACGCCAACUGCACCGCCCACAACCGCAAAGCUCUCCAGAGGGUGGUGCGGUCUGCCCAAUGCAUUACCAGGGGCAAACUUCCCGCCCUCCUGGACGCUUACAGCACCCAAUGCCAUAAUACGGCAAAAAAAGAUAAUCAAGGACAUCAACCACCCGAGCCACUGCCUGUUCACCCUGCUAUCAUCCAGAGGGCGAGGUCAGUACAGGUGCCUCAAAGCUGAGACCGAGAGACUGAAAAAACAGAUUCUAUCUCAAGGCCAUCCGACUGUUUUAACACCCAUCACUAGCACAUCAGGGGCGGUUGACUGUAGACAUUGAUUAGGAAUCACUGGCCACUUUUAGAAAUGGAUCACUAGCCACUUUAAUAAUGUUCCAUAUCUAGCAUUACUCAUCUCAUAUGUAUAAACUGCACUCCACACUAUUCUACGGUAUCUUAGUCACUUUUAAAUUGUGUUUACAUAUUGCAUCACCCAUUUCAUAUGUAUGCACUGUAUUGUAUUCUAUACUAUACCGCUGUCUGUUAAACAGCCAUCUCCUGCACAUCAGAGGCUGCUGCCUAAAGACAUAGAUUAGGAAUCAUUGGCCACUUUAAGGGAAUGAAACACUAGCCACUUUAAUAUUGUCUCCGUAUCUUGCAUUACUCAUCUCAUAGGUGUAAACUGUACUCUAUACUAUUCUACGGUAUCUUAGUCACUUUGAUUGUUUGUAAAUAUUGCAUCACCCAUCUCAUAUGUAUAUACUGUACUCUAUGCUAUGCCACUUUAUCUUAGUCCAAUGCCGCUCUGACAUACAUGUACAUGUAUAUAUAUUCUUAAUCCAUUCCUUACUUAUAUUUCCGUGUGUUUUGGGUAUAUGUCGUGAAACUGUUAGAUAUUACUUGUUAGGUUAUUACUGCACUGUCGGCGCUAGAAGCACAAGCAUUUCGCUACACCCGCAAUAAUAUCUGCUAAACACAUGUUUGUGACCAAUCAAAUUGGAUUUGAUUUUCAUUUGUUUAUCUGUCAAUACCUUUCAUAGUUUAUUGUGUACAGUUUUGCACGUAUAUCGCCAUUGAGAAUGAGUCGAAGGAUAUCAUCCACAUUGUCACGGUGGAUAAGCGGGAGACACAGAGGAACUCUGUCGUGGUGGAAACGCAGGCUUUUAUUAGGGCAAUUGACGAGCUCCUCUCGGAGGUCAAGUUGAAGGAGAUCUACACUGACGCACAUUAUGCAGAUUUCGGCACUAAUGAGUAAGUGCAUCUCUGUCUAGGUGUAUGUAGGACCUACAUUGACAAGCGAUUGCACAACAUUUGAUCAUUUUCACCUACAUGUUGACAUGUUCAUAAUUAUCCAAGUGUGUUUUUGAGUUUGAACGUGAUUAUUCCAAUCUGUAUUGUCCUACUUCCUUUACAAAUCCAGAGAAAGGAAAGUACAAGGACUCUGUAUUCUUCAUUCCCUUGACAUGUGGCACGCGGCAAAAAUCUGGGCAAGAAAGUAAAUGCGAUAAUGAACACCCAGCUUACCCACUACCUGAGCCAUAACCACAUCCUCUCCAAGUUCCAGUCUGGUUUCCGAAAACGUCACGGCUGCCUAACUGCCACAACCAAGGUUCUCAAUUACAGCUACGCCUCCCUGGACAAAAAGCAUACCUCUCAUCAAUAAUCUCAGACACCAGCCUCUCUGACAGCCCCCUCUGCUGGUUAUCCAACUGCUUCACAAACAAACUGUGGUGAAUGGUCACCUUCCAACAGGACAAUGACCGUAAGCACACAGCCAAGACAACGCAGGAGUGGCUUCGGGACAAGUCUCUGAAUGUCCAUGAGUGACCAAGCCAGAGCCCGGACUUGAACCCGACCGAACACCUCUGGAGAGACCUGAAAAUAACUGUGCAGCAACGCUCAACAUCCAACCUGACAGAGCUUUAGGGGAUCUGCAGAGAAGCAUGGGAGAAACUCCCCAAAUACAAGUGUGCCAAGCUUGUAGCGUCAUACCCAAGAAGUCUUGAGGCUGUAAUCGCUGCUAAAGGUGCUUCAAUGAAGUAUUGAGUAAAGGGUCUGAAUACUUAUGUAAAUGUGAUAUUUGAGUUUUAAUUUCUAAUACAUGAUUUCUAGAAACCUGUUUUUUCUUUGUCAUUAAGAGGUAUUGUGGUAUAGAUUGAUGAGGGGAAAAAACAAUUUAAUCCAUUUUAAAAUAAGGCUGUAUCAUAACAAAAUGUGGGGAAAGUCAAG